ACUCAUAGGUCUUGAAACAAUUCAUUGUAUUUAUCAAAUCCAAUAAACCGUUUAUAUUCACUAGUAUACCCCAACCCUAUAUUU
RNAcentral lists this transfer RNA (84 nucleotides) under Prunus dulcis (almond). RNAcentral's name for it is "tRNA-Tyr". The record is from RNAcentral. Lineage: Eukaryota; Viridiplantae; Streptophyta; Magnoliopsida; Rosales; Rosaceae.